This 462-nucleotide long non-coding RNA is filed under the name Malus domestica (apple). Its description in RNAcentral is "long non-coding RNA (MDOM_LNC011938)". The record is from RNAcentral. Lineage: Eukaryota; Viridiplantae; Streptophyta; Magnoliopsida; Rosales; Rosaceae.
UAAUAUCACUAACACGAAGGGGCUUUUCAUAGUAUAAAUCUCAACCAUUUCAUCACCCCACAACCCUAAUCCUUCCUAAAAAUUCCAGUAUCUAAACACACCCUCCUUCCCUCCCCUCCCCUUCUGCUAUUUUUUAUUUUAUUUUUUGGGUUUUGGGGAUAAAAAUGGAGAGAAAGUAUCGUGGUGUUUGCUAUCGUGCGCCUCUUGAUGAAGCCUUGGAUCCCAUUAAUCUGGAUCUUUAGGGUUUAUGUUCUUUAUAAAGAACGAGGAGGUAGAUUUUGUGCAGGAACGUUGAGUCGCUUCGCCUCUGAACAAUAACCAGGCUCAGUGAAUAACACCCUGCCAAAUCCCCUUUUCAUUUUUUAUUUUUUAUUUUCCAUCCGACUGUUUGUUUGUUUAUUUUUGCAUCUGAUAUUAUAUUAAAUUGAUUUGUUGAAGAAUUUGGAUUUGCGUAGUGGGGGC